UACGGAGGGUGCGAGCGUUGUCCGGAAUCACUGGGCGUAAAGGGCGCGUAGGUGGCUUUGUAAGCGGGCGGUGAAAGUCCGGGGCUCAACCCCGGAUCGGCCGUGCGGACUGCAAAGCUCGAGCACUGUAGAGGCAGGUGGAAUUCCGGGUGUAGCGGUGGAAUGCGUAGAGAUCCGGAGGAACACCAGUGGCGAAGGCGGCCUGCUGGGCAGUGGCUGACACUGAGGCGCGAAAGCUAGGGGAGCAAACAGG
Molecule: ribosomal RNA, 253 nt
Filed under: uncultured bacterium
Lineage: Bacteria
Description: partial 16S ribosomal RNA
Rfam family: Bacterial small subunit ribosomal RNA
Source: RNAcentral